UUCUUAUUAGAUGAUGAUUCUGUCAUAUGUUAUGUUGUGAUUGAAUGUCAACUGCAUAAAAGAUGAAAUACAUUGUUAUUUUCAUUGACCAAUAAAAACAUAAUAUGUGUCGGUCAUCAUCC
Non-coding RNA from Glycine soja, 122 nucleotides. Lineage: Eukaryota; Viridiplantae; Streptophyta; Magnoliopsida; Fabales; Fabaceae. The record is from Rfam.